UUUGAUGGCGACCGGCGCACGGGUGAGUAACACGUAUCCAACCUGCCGAUGACUCGGGGAUAGCCUUUCGAAAGAAAGAUUAAUACCCGAUGGCAUAGUUCUUCCGCAUGGUGGAACUAUUAAAGAAUUUCGGUCAUCGAUGGGGAUGCGUUACAUUAGGUUGUUGGCGGGGUAACGGCCCACCAAGCCUUCGAUGGAUAGGGGUUCUGAGAGGAAGGUCCCCCACAUUGGAACUGAGACACGGUCCAAACUCCUACGGGAGGCAGCAUG
RNAcentral lists this ribosomal RNA (270 nucleotides) under uncultured bacterium. RNAcentral's name for it is "partial 16S ribosomal RNA". It matches the Rfam family "Bacterial small subunit ribosomal RNA", at positions 84 to 353 of the family's 1533-position model. The record is from RNAcentral.